This 351-nucleotide long non-coding RNA is filed under the name Equus caballus (horse). RNAcentral describes it as "lncRNA (ENSECAG00000047753.1)". Lineage: Eukaryota; Metazoa; Chordata; Mammalia; Perissodactyla; Equidae. The record is from RNAcentral.
GACAUGUUUUGAGCACGUCCACAGCCAGACGCCAACAAACGUGCUGUAUACGUUUUGAUUUGUUUGAUCCUCAUGACAAACCUAUGAGCUAGGACCAUUACUAUCCCUCUUUUACAGAAGAGAGAAAUUUGGACACAAGGAUACAGACACAGAGGGAGGACGGCCAUGCGAAGACAGAGGCAGAGAUUGAAAUUAUGCUUCCGCAAGCCAAGGAACACCACGGACUCUGGGAACCACCAGAAGAAGCUGGAAGGGACAAGGAAGGAUUCUUCCCUAGAGCCUUCGGAGACAGCAUGGGCGUGCUGACACCCUGGUUUCAGAUUUCUAGCCUCCAGGACUGUGAGAGAAUAA